AUUUUACAGAUAAGGAAACUGAGGCAAAUAGGCAUAUGAGACUUGCCCAGGGUCAUCCAGCUUGUCAGAUUUGAACUCAGAAAAUGAGGCUUCUUGACUCCAGGCUGGAUGCUCUGUUCCCUGUACUAUACCCUAAGAGAAUUGGAGGGUGCUGAACAUGGAGACCACUAAACGACAUCACAACAAAAGGGCUGGAAGCUUCCAAGGAGAAAGAACUAUGCACCAAAAGCCUCCAAAGAAGUUUCUGGGAUUUGUCCAACAUUGUAGGCCCAUGAUAUGAAGGACACCAAAGUAUGAAAUUUAAUGUUUUGGUUGGGGUGACCUAUGGACUCAUUAGAGAAGGACACAAUAAUCAAUGUAAUAUACAUGGGAUAAGUUUAAUAGGAGGCUAGAGGAGGCAGAUAUCAGUAUGGACUAGAAUAAUCAGGAAAAUCCCUGUGGAGGACAAGGGAAUUGAACAAUGAAUUUAGGGAUUGUUCAUUUGAUUCUUUCUAGAGUCAUAGAUUCAUGGACACAUGGAAUCUCAGAGUUGGAAGGGAUAUCAUCUUGAUCUAACCCACUGCCUCCAUAAUAAUCCCUCAAUAGCAUCUGAUUUCUGUUUAAACAUUUUCAUUCAAGCUCUGGUGAACCCCUUAAAUUUGCUUUAAGAUGGGGUCUCCUGGGCUUUGAGGUCCUUGAUGGAGCACUGGACUUCAAGUGAGAAAACCCGAGUUCUUUUUCUCUCUCCUCAUCUACUAGUUGCAUGAUUCUGGGCAAAUCCCUUAUCAUCUCAGCCUCAGCUCACCCAUUUAUACAAUGAAGCAGUUAUUCUCUAGGUGGCCUUUUGGGGAGGGGUAUGGACUAACUUCAGAAGAUCUUCAGUAAGAAAACUCCAAGAUAAUUUCGGAGAAACUUGGAGAGACUUGUACAAACUGAUGCAGAGUGAAAUGAACAGAACUCACUUUCUCCAAUAAAAACAUCGUAAAAACAAACGCUUUGAAAGACAAUUCUGAAUAUGACCAUAGUUCCAGAGAUUCAGUGAUGAUACACGCUACUCACUUUAUGACAAAAAGGGUUAGGAUUUAGGGUGCAGAAUAAGACACAUUUUGUGGUAUAGCCAAUGUGGGAAUUUGUUUUUUGCCUUUGCAUAUUUGUUAUUGAAGUUUUGCUAUUCUUUUUCCCAAGGGAGAAGUAGUGGGGAGGGGAUGGGAGAAAAUAAAUAAGUAGUUGUUAAUUUGCAGGGGAGGUGAGUGAAAUAAAAUAAAAGUUAUAUUAAAAAAUUUAGCACUGGAGGGAAUAAGGACUAGUGGAAGGAAGUUUCUGAGAGUUCUAUUUCACCUAAAAAACAGGAGGAAUUUUAUAACAAAUACAAUUGUCCAAAAAUGGAGCAAGCUGCCUUAUGGUAUAAUGAGCUCCCCAUCACUAAAAGUGUUCCAACAAAGUCAGGAUCACUAAUCAUCAAGGAUGUUUUAGAGAGUAUUCAUGCACUAGGUGGGAGGUUGAAUUUGACAGCUUCUAAUUAAGCUCCCUUCUAACUCUAAGACUGUGUUCUAUCCCCAUUUCCUCUUUGUUUUGGAAGUUCUGAUACUUCUUGCCAGAGGGGAAAGCUGUGAUCAGAAGAGCUCAGAGGGAAACAGUUUCAGGAUCUCCACACCUUUCUGGGUUUUAGUGUUGCCUCUCCCACCAGACCAGGGUCCAGGACCACAAGGUAGUGUGGACUCCACUAGGCAUGCGGUGUAUCCUCCUUAAAGGGGAUUAGAUGAGGGUGGACCUGACAUUGGCCAUCUCCAAAAAAGGACAUCCUGUUCUGUGUGUUGAGUUUAUCACCUCUCUCCUGGGAGCUGGCUGGCAUGCUUCAUCAUGAUCCCCUGGAACCAUAACUAGUCAUUGAGCCAGUGUUUAAGUUUUUCCCCACUGGGAAAACCUCAGAUUUUCCUCAUGAGCCUUGGUUGACCAAUGCUAUCUUUUCCUUAGCGACAUCCCUUCUUCCUGAACUGCCCUCUCUCUGUAAUCUUCCAUGUCUGUAUCUUUUCUGAUGCCAGGAAACUUCCAGGCAAGAAGGUUCCUAUUGAUUGGUGCCUCCCUGCCUGUGACACUAAGAUAGGGAAGUCAGUCUGACUUGCCCAAGAUGGAUUCCUUUCCUCCCCAUUAAAAACUUGAGCAGCUUUGAUCCAUAUGCAGCCAUGAUCUUCUCUAGUCUUUCUGCACCUUAGUCCUGGACACAUAUCUAGUGACACUGGCUUCUGAACAAGAAAGACAGCCCAUCUCUCAGCUUUGGGCAUCCUUUCUGGCUGUUCCAUCUUCCUAGAAUGCUCUCCUUCUUCUGCUCUAAUUACUCACCUCCCUGUCGUUGUUUAAAUACCAACUGAAAACUUAUCUUCUAUGGAAGCCUUCCCCAGCUUUUUUUUAACCCUAGUUCCUUCUUGGGCAGCUAAAUGGCCAGUGGAUAGUCAGUCUGGAUAUAGGAGGUCCCAGGUUUGAAUUUUCCCUCAGAUACUUUCUACCUGUAACUUCAAUUGCCUAGCUCUUACCUCUCUCUUCUGUCUCAGAAUUCAUAAUUAACGGGACCAGCUGGGUGGCUCAGUGGAUGGAGAGCCAGGCCUAGAGACAGGAAGGUCUGGGUUCAAAUGUGGCCUCAGACACUUCCUAGCUAGGUGACUCUGGGCAAGUCACUUAAUUCCAGCUUCUAGCCCUUGCCUCUCUUCUGCCUUAGAACCAAUACACAGUAUUGAUUCUAAAAUGGAAGACAAGUAUUAAAAAAGAAAAAGAGCUGAUACUAAGACAGAAAA
This is a long non-coding RNA of Monodelphis domestica (gray short-tailed opossum), 2768 nucleotides long. RefSeq lists it as uncharacterized. The record is from RefSeq and is a predicted model, not a curated record. NCBI's taxonomy places the organism in Eukaryota, Metazoa, Chordata, Mammalia, Didelphimorphia, Didelphidae.